This is a non-coding RNA of Papiliotrema laurentii, 84 nucleotides long. The record is from the annotation of a GenBank genome assembly. Lineage: Eukaryota; Fungi; Basidiomycota; Tremellomycetes; Tremellales; Rhynchogastremaceae.
GCCCGUAUGGUGUAGUGGUCUAGCACGUUGCUUUCCGGAGACGGUGUGCGGCAAGGGUCCGGGGUUCAACUCCCCGUGCGGGUU